AACCGCCGUAUGCCGAACGGCACGUACGGUGGUGUGGGAGGAAGGAAAACGAAAGUAGGUCAGAAAACUUACUCCGUUUUCCGACCUACCCGAU
RNAcentral lists this non-coding RNA (94 nucleotides) under Segatella salivae F0493. The record is from RNAcentral. Lineage: Bacteria; Pseudomonadati; Bacteroidota; Bacteroidia; Bacteroidales; Prevotellaceae.